GACGAACGCUGGCGGCGUGCCUAAUACAUGCAAGUCGAGCGGACGGAUGGGAGCUUGCUCCCAGACCGUCAGCGGCGGACGGGUGAGUAACACGUGGGCAACCUGCCUGUAAGGCUGGGAUAACUCCGGGAAACCGGGGCUAAUACCGGAUAACUCUUUCCCUCACAUGAGGGAAAGCUGAAAGAUGGCAUCUCGCUAUCACUUACAGAUGGGCCCGCGGCGCAUUAGCUAGUUGGUGAGGUAACGGCUCACCAAGGCGACGAUGCGUAGCCGACCUGAGAGGGUGAUCGGCCACACUGGAACUGAGACACGGCCCAGACUCCUACGGGAGGCAGCAGUAGGGAAUCUUCCGCAAUGGACGAAAGUCUGACGGAGCAACGCCGCGUGAGUGAUGAAGGUUUUCGGAUCGUAAAACUCUGUUGUCAGGGAAGAACAAGUACCGGAGUAACUGCCGGUACCUUGACGGUACCUGACCAGAAAGCCACGGCUAACUACGUG
RNAcentral lists this ribosomal RNA (498 nucleotides) under uncultured bacterium. Its description in RNAcentral is "partial 16S ribosomal RNA". It matches the Rfam family "Bacterial small subunit ribosomal RNA", at positions 28 to 507 of the family's 1533-position model. The record is from RNAcentral.